AGAUUAAGUUAUUAAGGGCGCACGGUGGAUGCCUUGGCACUAGAAGCCGAUGAAGGACGUUACUAACGACGAUAUGCUUUGGGGAGCUGUAAGUAAGCUUUGAUCCAGAGAUUUCCGAAUGGGGAAACCCAGCAUGAGUUAUGUCAUGUUAUCGAUAUGUGAAUACAUAGCAUAUCAGAAGGCACACCCGGAGAACUGAAACAUCUUAGUACCCGGAGGAAGAGAAAGAAAAUUCGAUUCCCUUAGUAGCGGCGAGCGAAACGGGAAGAGCCCAAACCAAAAAGCUUGCUUGUUGGGGUUGUAGGACACUCUAUACGGAGUUACAAAGGACGACAUUAGACGAAUCAUCUGGAAAGAUGAAUCAAAGAAGGUAAUAAUCCUGUAGUCGAAAAUGUUGUCUCUCUUGAGUGGAUCCUGAGUACGACGGAGCACGUGAAAUUCCGUCGGAAUCUGGGAGGACCAUCUCCUAAGGCUAAAUACUCUCUAGUGACCGAUAGUGAACCAGUACCGUGAGGGAAAGGUGAAAAGCACCCCGGAAGGGGAGUGAAAUAGAACCUGAAACCGUGUGCUUACAAGUAGUCAGAGCCCGUUAAUGGGUGAUGG
RNAcentral lists this ribosomal RNA (603 nucleotides) under Staphylococcus aureus. RNAcentral describes it as "bacterial LSU rRNA". It matches the Rfam family "Bacterial large subunit ribosomal RNA", at positions 1 to 599 of the family's 2925-position model. The record is from RNAcentral. Lineage: Bacteria; Bacillati; Bacillota; Bacilli; Caryophanales; Staphylococcaceae.